UGUAAGAAAGCCCAGAUUAUGAGGCUUGAAAUUCUAAUCAUGUAUUGCACCAAAAAGCAGAGCACAUGCAAGAUAUCAUGGGAUUGCUCUUUAAAUACAUUGACAUCUUACACCAGUCUGGCAUUUGCGAGUGGAUUUAUGACGAGCGACAAUGCUAGCCAAGAAUCCUGAUGCUCCGCAUUGCAGCAUUUUCGUAAUUGGGAACUUGAGGCUACAUGCAUUCGAGCUUCUUCUAUACUUUGCUAGAUACAACUUCUAUCAAAUGUUGUCAGAGCAAGUCUCUUAGGGGACAUUCACAUUAUCAAUUGUAUUAAUUAAAUAAAUAAUAGCCUCUAACAGUUGCAAGAAAUCAACCUUUUGAUGA
Long non-coding RNA from Eucalyptus grandis, 364 nucleotides. RefSeq lists it as uncharacterized. NCBI's taxonomy places the organism in Eukaryota, Viridiplantae, Streptophyta, Magnoliopsida, Myrtales, Myrtaceae. The record is from RefSeq and is a predicted model, not a curated record. The transcript has 2 exons.